RNAcentral lists this ribosomal RNA (431 nucleotides) under uncultured bacterium. RNAcentral's name for it is "bacterial SSU rRNA". It matches the Rfam family "Bacterial small subunit ribosomal RNA", at positions 29 to 506 of the family's 1533-position model. The record is from RNAcentral.
ACGAACGCUGGCGGCAGGCUUAACACAUGCAAGUCGAACGGGAUCUUCGGAUCUAGUGGCGGACGGGUGAGUAACGCGUGGGAACAUGCCCAGCAGUACGGAAUAACAGCGGGAAACUGCUGCUAAUACCGUAUACGCCCUUCGGGGGAAAGAUUUAUCGCUGUUGGAUUGGCCCGCGUCCGAUUAGCUUGUUGGUGAGGUAAAAGCUCACCAAGGCGACGAUCGGUAGCUGGUCUGAGAGGACGAUCAGCCACACUGGGACUGAGACACGGCCCAGACUCCUACGGGAGGCAGCAGUGGGGAAUAUUGGACAAUGGGGGAAACCCUGAUCCAGCCAUGCCGCGUGAGUGAAGAAGGCCUUAGGGUUGUAAAGCUCUUUCGGCGGGGACGAUGAUGACGGUACCCGCAGAAGAAGCCCCGGCUAACUCCGU